Molecule: ribosomal RNA, 257 nt
Filed under: uncultured bacterium
Lineage: Bacteria
Description: partial 16S ribosomal RNA
Rfam family: Bacterial small subunit ribosomal RNA
Source: RNAcentral
UAUGGGGGGGAGCAAGCGUUGUUCGGAUUUACUGGGCGUAAAGGGCGCGUAGGCGGUCGUGACAAGUCACUUGUGAAAUCUCCGGGCUUAACUCGGAACGGUCAAGUGAUACUGUCGGACUAGAGUACAGAAGGGGCAACUGGAAUUCUCGGUGUAGCGGUGAAAUGCGUAGAUAUCGUGAGGAACACCAGAGGCGAAGGCGGCUACCUGGAACAAUUGCUGACGCUCAGGCACGAAAGCGUGGGGGAGCAAAAGGG